RNAcentral lists this ribosomal RNA (201 nucleotides) under uncultured bacterium. Its description in RNAcentral is "partial 16S ribosomal RNA". It matches the Rfam family "Bacterial small subunit ribosomal RNA", at positions 524 to 720 of the family's 1533-position model. The record is from RNAcentral.
UACGUAGGGUGCAAGCGUUUAAUCGGAAUUACUGGGCGUAAAGCGUGCGCAGGCGGUUAUGUAAGUCGGGGUGUGAAAGCCCCGGGGCUCAACCUGGGAAUUGCAUUCGAGACUGCAUAGCUAGGGUGCGGAAGAGGGAAGCGGAAUUUCCGGUGUAGCGGUGAAAUGCGUAGAUAGUCGGAAGGAACACCAGUGGCGAAA